AACGAACGCUGGCGGCGUGCCUAAUACAUGCAAGUAGAACGCACAGUUUAUACCGUAGCUUGCUACACCAUAGACUGUGAGUUGCGAACGGGUGAGUAACGCGUAGGUAACCUGCCUGGUAGCGGGGGAUAACUAUUGGAAACGAUAGCUAAUACCGCAUAAUAUUAAUUAUUGCAUGAUAAUUAAUUGAAAGGUGCAAUUGCACCACUACCAGAUGGACCUGCGUUGUAUUAGCUAGUAGGUGAGGUAACGGCUCACCUAGGCGACGAUACAUAGCCGACCUGAGAGGGUGAUCGGCCACACUGGGACUGAGACACGGCCCAGACUCCUACGGGAGGGAGUAGUAGGGAAUCUUCGGAAAUGGACGAAAGUCUGACCGAGCAACGCCGCGUGAGUGAAGAAGGUUUUCGGAUCGUAAAGCUCUGUUGUAAGAGAAGAACGGGUGUGAGAGUGGAAAGUUCACACUGUGACGGUAUCUUACCAGAAAGGGACGGCUAACUACGUG
Molecule: ribosomal RNA, 505 nt
Filed under: uncultured bacterium
Lineage: Bacteria
Description: partial 16S ribosomal RNA
Rfam family: Bacterial small subunit ribosomal RNA
Source: RNAcentral